Molecule: long non-coding RNA, 832 nt
Filed under: Helianthus annuus (common sunflower)
Lineage: Eukaryota; Viridiplantae; Streptophyta; Magnoliopsida; Asterales; Asteraceae
Description: sRNA HanXRQr2_Chr02g0077831
Source: RNAcentral
UGUGUGGGGGUUCUGGUCGAGCAAAAGGGGAGCAAGGGGGAUGAACCCUAGUUUAACAAAAUUCACAAGAAUCAAGUGAAAUCUUGAGAAAAUUGAAAGUAUAAACAACGAAUUCUAAGCUCCUACAUCUGUUCUUCGAAUUGGCAUAAAGGAAGAAGGUCCAAGCUCUAAGAAGUCGGAAGGCCCUCAGGAUCGAGGUAAAUCCUCACUUUAGGCGAUCUGGAGAUUGGAGCGAGCACAUGUCCAUAUCUUGUUAUACCGAACGCUUCCGCUAGCUUAUUCGCAUCUUUUGGUCCAUGACUUGUUAUUUUGUCUAACUUAGUUAGUAGUCGUACAUGUGUAAUACUUGUUGACUUGUUUUUAGUAGUUUUUAUAUCAAACGGUUCGUAGAAUGUUAUUUAGUGUAUCAAGUUUAAAACAGGGGGCAUGUCCGUGUUUCGAACGGGUCAUGCCCAAUUUUUGUAAAAUUUUGUUAUGUACAAAGUUGGUAUUUUUGAUGUCUAUUAAAUUACAUUAGUAGGUGAUUUUAUAAAGUCAGAAAAGCGGACCUUACAUUAUUAUUAUUAUUAUUAUUAUUAUUAUUAUUAUUAUUAUUAUUAUUAUUAUUAUUAUUAUUAUUAUUAUUAUUAUUAUUCUUAUUAUUAUUAUUAUUAUUAUUAUUAUUAUUAUUAUUAUUAUUAUUUUGACUUGUUGAUAACACACAACUGAAUAGUCAGUAUAGGGCUGGCUACUUUGAGGGGUGAAUAAUGUAAAUUGUGAAGCCAUCCGCAAUGCUUUGACCAUGCAAUUGUUCACAGCUGUUUUCUGUAAGGGCUAUUAUGCCAUGUUCUGA